GUGAGUCAUCGAAUCUUUGAACGCACCUUGCGCCCUCUGGUAUUCCGGAGGGCAUGCCUGUUUGAGUGUCAUGAAGACUUCAACCCCUCGGGUUUUUCUCGGGGACGUUGGACUUGGGCGUCUGCCACGUCGUUGGCUCGCCUCAAAUGUGUCAGUGGUAAUCAGGCCUUUGACGGGAGUAAUAAGUUUCUCUUGUCUGUCGGUCGUCGAUGGCUGCUACCAACCCUGCCCCCGUGGCAAUUCUGACUCUGACCUCAAAUCAGGUAGGACUACCCGCUGAACUUAAGCAUAUCAAUAAGC
RNAcentral lists this unclassified non-coding RNA (300 nucleotides) under uncultured Tremellales. RNAcentral's name for it is "sequence contains 5.8S rRNA gene, ITS2". The stretch from base 1 to 71 matches the Rfam family "5.8S ribosomal RNA", at positions 84 to 154 of the family's 154-position model. The record is from RNAcentral. Lineage: Eukaryota; Fungi; Basidiomycota; Tremellomycetes; Tremellales.